GUAGUGCAGGAGUCAGUGGGAUAUCAUGUUGAUAUCAGGUAGUGUAGGAGUCAGUGGGAUGUUGAUAUCAGGUAGUGUAAGAGUCAGUGGGAUGUUGAUAUCAGGUAGUGCAGGAGUCAGUGAGAUGUUGAUAUCAGGUAGUGUAGGAGUCAGUGAGAUGUUGAUAUCAGGUAGUGUAGGAGUCAGUGAGAUGUUGAUAUCAGGUAGUGUAGAGUCAGUGAGAUGUUGAUAUCAGGUAGUGUAGGAGUCAGUGGGAUGUUGAUAUCAGGUAUUGUUGGAGUCAGUGGGAUGUUGAUAUCAGGUAGUGUAGGAGACAGUGGGAUGUUGAUGUUGAUAUCAGGUAGUGUAGGAGUCAGUGGGAUACCAUGUUGAUAUCAGUUGGUGUAGGAGUCAGUGGGAUGUUGAUAUCAGGUGAUAUAGGAGUCAGUGGGAUGUUGAUAUCAGGUAGUGUAGGAGUCAGUGGGAUGUUGAUAUCAGGUAGUGUAGGAGGCAGUGAGAUGUUGAUGUCAGUUAGUGUAGGAGUCAGUGAGAUGUUGAUAUCAGGUAGUGUAGGAGUCAGUGGGAUGUUGAUGUUGAUAACAAGGUAGUGCAGGAGUCAGUGGGAU
Molecule: long non-coding RNA, 605 nt
Filed under: Salmo salar (Atlantic salmon)
Lineage: Eukaryota; Metazoa; Chordata; Actinopteri; Salmoniformes; Salmonidae
Description: lncRNA (ENSSSAG00000097515.1, ENSSSAG00000106436.1)
Source: RNAcentral